Molecule: long non-coding RNA, 288 nt
Filed under: Carica papaya (papaya)
Lineage: Eukaryota; Viridiplantae; Streptophyta; Magnoliopsida; Brassicales; Caricaceae
Description: long non-coding RNA (CPAP_LNC005358)
Source: RNAcentral
UGACUAUCACCUAGUUUAAAUAUCUAUCUCCCACAACAUAGCAGAGUUUAGGAAACUGAAACCCUACUUUGAAGGAGGCCCCGACCUCUUAGUAGCCAAAGCUUGGAUCCUAUAGAUAGAGAAGAUUUUAUUUGUCUUAGACCUAACUGAGGAACAAAAGGUUCCCCUAGCAGCCUUCAUCCUAACUGGAGAAGUCGAAUAUUGGUGGCGGCUUAAGAAGGAAGUCUUACCUACCCUUACAACUUAGGAAGUUUUCAUGGAAGCUUUCUUUGAAAACCUCUUUCCUGU